Molecule: long non-coding RNA, 314 nt
Filed under: Salmo salar (Atlantic salmon)
Lineage: Eukaryota; Metazoa; Chordata; Actinopteri; Salmoniformes; Salmonidae
Description: lncRNA (ENSSSAG00000107088.1)
Source: RNAcentral
UUGAUGUUAUGGAUGGAAGGUCUGUGUAAUGAGUUAUUACAUGAUGUUAAAGGAUGGAAGGUCUGUGUAAUGAGUUAUUACAUGAUGUUAUGGAUGGAAGGUCUAUGUAAUGAGUUAUUACAUGAUGUUAUGGAUGGAAGGUCUGUAUAAUGAGUUAUUACAUGAUGUUAUGGAUGGAAGGUCUGUGUAAUGAGUUAUUACAUGAUGUUAUGGAUGGAAGGUCUGUGUAAUGAGUUAUUACAUGAUGUUAUGGAUGGAAGGUCUGUGUAAUGAGUUAUUACAUGAUGUUAUAGAUGGAAGGUCUGUGUAAUGAG